CCCUCCUUGCUUACAUUUCUC
Molecule: microRNA, 21 nt
Filed under: Ananas comosus (pineapple)
Lineage: Eukaryota; Viridiplantae; Streptophyta; Magnoliopsida; Poales; Bromeliaceae
Description: microRNA s0746_c96a
Source: RNAcentral